UCUUUUUUCCCAUUCCCGCUCGGUUUUCCCUCCUCAACCAAAAAUUCCCAAUCUUAAAAACCAAAAAUCCCUAAUCUCCUCUUAUGGCUCUCUCUCUCUCUCUCUCUGUGGCGAGCGGCAACAGACAACUACGAGUGGCGGCAGACUAGGGCGUGAUCUUGGUCAUCAUCUUCUUCACUUAUCAUCUAAGAAACCCCAGAAGUUUUUAGUGUAUUUUGGGGAAAAGAAAUGAUGGGUGAAGGGGGGAAGGAGAGAGGAGUCGCCAGCGCCGAUCCGCCUCAACCUCACUACAGAACCUUCCAGGGAGUUUCCAACUACCUUCCUCCUCCUUCUCCUCCUCCUCAUCCUCAGCCCGCCAUCUUCCCUCAACCUGUUCCUCUCCCCGGCGCCUCUGAACCCUAUGCUAAUGCCUAUCAAGCCGUUCCAGCUAGCUGAAGAUUCAAUGGUGAAGUUGGAUAGAAUCUGUCGGGAAGCAAAUGUCAUGUUGGUAUUUGCACACUCGUAUGGCCUCACAGGGUUUGUUCGGAUCAGUGUGAAGGAACAUACUGUGAUUGAGUCAAAGCCUGAUCAUUUUUGGGAUGAUCUCCGACUAAAUUGCCCAUGGCCUGAGUUGAGGAGCAUGAGUUAAUCUGUGCCCUCUAUCCAGUAUUUGUCCAUUGUUUCAUGGAUCUUGUGGCAAAAGGUCAUAUUCAAGAAGCUCGAAAUUUUUUCAAUAGCUUUCGCGAAGACCAUGAGAUGAUGCACUUACGGGACCCCGCCAGAAAUUGGAAGGAGUUCUUUCUCCGUGUCAUCUGGAGGAAAUGGAGUUUGCUCAUUCUUUGAGGCAGAGCAAAGUGAAACGUAAGAUAUGCCCAGUUAUUGAUUCAGAUGGGCACCUUUUUUAAUUUUUAUUUCUUUAUUUAUUAGUAGAUUAAGAUGGGGCUAUACAAGGGAAAAGCAAAUCAUUUUAAAAUAAUUUAAGGAAUUAUCUGAAAGCUAAAUGUCAUUUUUGUCCCACUUUUCCCUCCAAUAUUCUUAUGAGCUUAUGUUGCAAUAUUUAUACAAGACACAAUCCAUUACAAUGGUUGGGGUUAUUAAUGAGCAUAUUAACUUUCAAGGUA
Molecule: long non-coding RNA, 1100 nt
Organism: Camellia sinensis
Lineage: Eukaryota; Viridiplantae; Streptophyta; Magnoliopsida; Ericales; Theaceae
Source: RefSeq, a predicted model, not a curated record